Long non-coding RNA from Drosophila navojoa, 990 nucleotides. The record is from RefSeq and is a predicted model, not a curated record. NCBI's taxonomy places the organism in Eukaryota, Metazoa, Arthropoda, Insecta, Diptera, Drosophilidae.
UCCAAACUCAUUUGCAAAUAUGUAUGAAAAUAUAAUAACAUUAAAAUAUUAUUAUUAUUAUUAUUAUUUUUUAACUCAUACAAUCAUCUACUAAAAAUACAUUGUACAAACAAGUCGUAUGUGGUUAUUAUCAAUCAUAUAGAACUAAUCAAUGCAAGUAUUGCAAUUUAUAUUCAAAGUGGUAAAAUUUCACAUCAGCUCACACUUUUAGAGUCCUGAUGUCAUAUUCUGAUUACGAUUAAUCGAAAAAGUAAAUUUUACGCCAACAAAAAAUUCUGAUGUCUAGCGCGCAGUUUGUCAACAAGAACCAGCUGAACUAAAAUUUUUCUUAUGCUCCUAAGUCCUUUCUUUACAAGACUUUCUUAUAACAGCUAUAACAAAAUAAUACAAUAUAAAAGUAUAUAUAUCAAGCUAACCUGAACAAAAGAAAUCAAACGGAUUCUGCGUGUAUGUAUAAAACAAAAACAACAUAAUAUUUACUUAUAUAUCUUCCAUUUUAUCUUCAAUGUAUGCUACGUACAAAUGUUGACAAAUCUGUUUUAAAUCGAUACAAAAUUUUCCUAUCUAUAUAGUGUACCCACAAUUUCGGCAUGAUUUCUUUACAUACUCCUGCUACUUACUUCCAAUUCCACUAUCAAUUAGUUAAAAACAAUCGAUACAACAAUUAAUACCAAUAACGCCUAUAUAUAUUUUCAUAAUCUGCACUUAGUUCUUUGCAUUCAAUAAUCAUUAAAUUGCAUGCGAAUAUCACCUCACAUAUACUCUAAAUACUCUCUAUUAAUAAUAUUCUAUGAAACCAAUACUAAUAUAAUAUUAUUUAUUCUUCUUAUGCUAAAUGCCGUUGAGUGUCGAGAGGUCAGUUUAAUUGCCAACUCUACAAGGAUAAAGGAUGGCAUAAACUUAUACUACUGAAUACUAACACUGUGCUCCUACAAUAAUAAAUUAAUUAUUUUAGAUUAACCAAAAUUAAGAAACAAACGAUGUGUGGAC